ACCAUCCUUUUCUUGGUGUUGUGGUACUGUCCAAUGAGCACAUAAUGAGGGCAAUACUGCUAACACCUAAACAACACAUCCAUAUCAACUAGAGCUUUGCUUCACCUUGGUGCAAUUUUUGGAAAA
Saimiri boliviensis boliviensis (Bolivian squirrel monkey) is the source of this 126-nucleotide small nuclear RNA. The record is from Ensembl. NCBI's taxonomy places the organism in Eukaryota, Metazoa, Chordata, Mammalia, Primates, Cebidae.